UACAACACUUUUACAUCACUUUCGCUUCCCACGGCAAACCCCCAGGCGGGCAAGUCUACCGGCGGGCAACCUGACGUUUCUCACGUCAGCUACAAAACGUCACACCAAUGUCAUUGGAGCAUAUCGUUAUGCUCAAUGUUUAUUUAGUGAUGAAAGUGCUAAAAGUUCAGUUCAAUAAUCGUUGAAAUCGGCCAAAUUUUCAACGAAAAUCGAGGACAUAAACAGUGGUGGUAUUUUGCUGCCAAGAUGCAAUCUUUCUGCGAAAGAUUGACCUGUAGUAACCACCAAAUCUUCCCGGGAUUAACCAUGAAGCCAUCUUGCCUUGCAAGAUACACUACAGAUAUGGUCAAUAUCACCAAGUGGGCCAUCCCCUCAUCGCAUCUCCACCGUCGGCGCUCAGAUAAAGGGCAAAACUAUAAACCCCUUCAUCGUACCCGAAUCGGUCAGUGCGACUAUGGAUGCCCAUGAUGGAAUGGAAAAGUACCUAUGACUCAUCCAAACCAACCAGAACGCAAGCGGGUUACAGGACCAGAUAUGUGGACUCCAGAGUAAUAAUGGAAGUGUUCUCCGUAACCUCUGGCUAAAGCCAACAUCUCGAAUCUGCCCUUUAUUUCUGUCGGUCUGGCCAGAUCAGCCAUCAAAGUAUCUGUAAAGAAAUUAAAUAAACUUAAUUUUGAACUAUCCGAACCGACUUUGGUCCGAACUUCACUCUCCGCCUCAUCAUUACUGAGAAAUUCCUACUUUUUUCCGUUAACAUUCGUAUACGGGAGUUGAACGUAUUGCGCCCGUUGGGAUUGCUAUCAGUACCCAACGGGAAUCUGUCCUGACGUAGGACAUCCUACUAAGUAUUGCGUUCUACUUAUUUAUAUUGGAUUAGCAGACUGGUAUGGAUCGUUGGUGGAUACAUCCUCGCCCAGCCAAUCUGCGUAUACUGUGUUUUUAUGGGUUCGUUUUUUUCUGCCGUGUGCUCUAUUGUGUAUGUAUCAAAAGUGAAAUAGAGCAAAGCGUAGAUGGUAAAAUGAUGAAUGAUUCAACUAUUGCAAAUAGGUAUGUAAAAUUUGUGCUAUUGUUAAACUGAUGUGGAUUCGGUACCGUAUGUAAAGCAAAAUUAUGAUUUUUCAUGGAAUGAAUCAAAAUUAACGGUUCACGACACACAAGGCAAACCAAAAAUCACGAAUUUCUUCGCACAGUAAACGAUUUUGGAAAGCGUAUAGUGUCCUCUUUUGCGUUCAGGACCUCUUAUGGCGUUUUAUCUUCACUUUCACUUUCUUUUCUUGUGGAGCAGUGGGACAGUGGAAGGGCACAAACAUUCGUGCUUUACACGAAUUCCUGCCACCUCCCGUCGGAAAAAUCCUUAGAUUUUUGAACUCUACCGAACCCUUGAUUACCUUUCGCGGACUUUUAGUUGGGCGCCAAUUGUUACCUAACGAUUAACAAGGCUCAUACGGCAGAACCGACUCUAUAGCUGGUAUCGCAGGGUCGGCUAGCUACCGGGUAAUCAAGGGCUACGCGGAUCAAGAACAAAAACCUAGAACAUUCACUUUUCUUAUACACUUUUUAUUUGUGAGUAUUUGUAGUGUGGUUGUGGGGUGUAAUUUACAAUAUUACUGUGGAGUGUACACUAUUAUUUUCACCAAACGUACCGUACUGUUGCUGCUACGGCUGGCGGGCGUUGCGACGCUAACGAUGCCGACGGGCGAGAUCCCCUCGCGGACGUCGGCGAAACUGGCCGGAUGAAGGCCACGGUACGAUGGUGAUCUAGACUGCAGUUGGACGGACCAGCGGGCGUUGCUGGCUUGGAUGCAGGCAGGCGUCUUCCCUCCUUGGCGAGCAUCGGCGUGACCGCGGCUAACCGAAAUGGCCAACACCGAGAGGGGACCCUCCUUUGCGGUUAGGGCCUUUGCCCGAGGGUAUGAAGCGGAGGCGCGCAGCGCCGGAUGACGAACGACGGUCCUUUACGAUUAGGCGCGGAAUCCUCCCGGAUUCGCGUGCCGAACCGUGUGCUGAACGAUUUGAUGCGGCGCUAAGAGGCACUAAGAGGUCCUGGUGAAGAAUAUGGCAACGCAAAGUUGCUAAAUAAUCUAAUCGAUUCUUCAGAGUAAAACUUUAAAUACCUGAACGAAUCGAUACACUUUAAACAAACUUCCCGCCCCAGAGGGGGGGGGGGGUAAACUACACUUCACCAGUUAAUUUAAACUUCAGCACACGGACGCCAGAUAUUAAAAGAGACCAGAGUUAUGCACUACAGGUCCUUUUAUACAAUUUUGAAAUGCAUUUCCCUCCAAUUUUUAUCCGAAAACCAUUUGUAAUUUUCAGUAUCUCGCGUCUCCAUAAGGGGUGGUUCACCUACCCACUGAGACGAUCUGACAGCUUACAGCGGUACGCACCCUUUCACUACCCUGCUUAAUGUUGUUGUGUAUUUAGUACAAAAAACGUGAAGGUUCUAAAGACAAACAAAUAAUAUUUACACCAGAAACCUAAGCAAUGGAACCAAUGGUUACAACAAGUAAACUUCCACGGAACCUUAUGCCUCCCGGGAUUACCUUACGGCAUUAAUUCGGGAAGAGAGUUUUUUAUGUGCACAACACACGAUCUCCAAUCCAA
Topomyia yanbarensis is the source of this 2604-nucleotide long non-coding RNA. RefSeq lists it as uncharacterized. The transcript is spliced from 4 exons. The record is from RefSeq and is a predicted model, not a curated record. NCBI's taxonomy places the organism in Eukaryota, Metazoa, Arthropoda, Insecta, Diptera, Culicidae.